GUCAUGGGAUCUGCAGUUCAGCAAGAUGAAAGGGAUAAAGCAGAGCCCGCUGGCACUAAGAAAAGCUUCCAGCACACAAUCCACAGCACAGCUUGGGAACCAGGAGAGCUUCGGAUCCAGCCGCUCAGUCCCAGCGUGGAGGAGCCACCGGCAGUGCCCUGUGAAAAAAAACAGAGGAAAACAAGGUGAUCUACAUUUAACAAAAGAAUGUGUGGCCUGGGAGGCAAGAGGGCAGCUACCUACCUGCUGAAAGAGAACUUUCUGGAUAUCCCUGCAUAUAUAUAAGCUCAGCUCUGCCUUUGAUGUUCAGCAACCGAUCACUGAUCAGAUUACAGGCAUUUCAUCUCCCUGCUCGUCUGUCUUUGAUCUGCAUGGUUAAUUUCAUUUUCUUGGAUUUGAAGUUUUGUCUGGGCUUGUGCUGACACACAUUUUUUGGGAGGUGGAAGCAUUUGGCACAGAAGUGCUGCCAAGGAGAGACUAAGCUGCCGAGGGUGAGUUCUGGGAAGAACUGGCAGUUGCAGCCUGAUUGAGAGGACCGCUGUGAUCUGUGAAGAGGGUGAGGAGCGGCCUGCUGGCUGUGUGUCCUGUCUCCUGCGCUGCACAGACCCUCCAGCUCUGCCUCUGAAGUUGUCCCAGCACAUCCCCUCACUUGCUGAAAUCAAGACUCACAGCUUGGAUGGAGAAGGUAGUUUAAUGCCAUCCAUGGUUACUUCAGUCUGUUCUUUGAUAAGGGCAAGAGAGGUCAGGUGAGCAUAAAGUGACUUUGUAGAACCAUUCCCUCCAACAUAAACCACCAUCUUUGAGACGCUUUCUGAUAAGUGUGCUUUUCUCCAUCCUGUUCAGUGUCCACAGUUCUUCAGCAGCCUGACAACAUGGGCUGCCGCCCAGCCAGCCCACUCCUUCCUUAGCUCUGCGUGGAAUGGUCCACCAUCUUGAUGGCAAAGGAGAGAGAGCAACAGGUCAAAGGUGGUCUGUUUGGUCAUUAAACUUAUGAAAACCGUCUGACCACAGAGACCCUCGAGCCAGCAUGUCACGAACUGGCAAAGAUCAGUGCAAGGGCUAUACUUUUCACCUUUUCUCCAUCAGUGCCGUG
Molecule: long non-coding RNA, 1093 nt
Filed under: Heterocephalus glaber (naked mole-rat)
Lineage: Eukaryota; Metazoa; Chordata; Mammalia; Rodentia; Bathyergidae
Description: lncRNA (ENSHGLG00100037522.1)
Source: RNAcentral